Molecule: long non-coding RNA, 675 nt
Filed under: Heterocephalus glaber (naked mole-rat)
Lineage: Eukaryota; Metazoa; Chordata; Mammalia; Rodentia; Bathyergidae
Description: lncRNA (ENSHGLG00100034207.1)
Source: RNAcentral
GUUCCUUGUGGGUGCGGUCGCUGCGCAAGGGUCACCUUACCUCCCCGCCCCACACCUGCGAGUCUCCCCCACCCAACCCCACAGCUGGGGCCGCCUGGGAGAUUUUCUCAUUGCCUCCUUUCGUCUAAUCCCCACACUACCCUCGGGCCUGGGUAAAGAGGCCUAAACUGCAUCCUGCACUCUUGUUGGAUGAAUUUAGGGAUCGAACUCGAGACCUUCCGCUUUCGAGGCAGGCGCCAGAACCACUGAGCUAAAUCCCCGGCUGCCCAACUACAGAUGUGCUUUCUCUAUAGAUUCAUUUGCAUUUUCUAGAAUUUUGUUUUUUGUACCAGGAAUCAAACUUUGCCAGUGAGAUGCCUUGAACACAGGACGGGUAUGGUGGAGAGCAUUUCAAAUAACCAAAAAACCACAGAGUGGGUCAAUUUGUCAGCCUCUCGAGGAGGAAAGCCAGCAGUUAAUUCCUCCCCAGACACAACAGCCCGAGACUGCGCUUCAGAAGUUUGACUCUGAGGUCUCCUUCUCCGGCAGCAAGCUCUGCGGAAGUUCCUUUCCUCCUUCCUGCUGUCUCUGUGCCUCUUCCUUUAGACCUCCAGCCUCUGGAGAAUGGCUUCCUGUUUCUUGAGUUCUUCCAAAGAGUGCAGCUCCAAGUGCACCUGGUUGAUUUGGUCCCACAGG